GAAAAAAAUGGACUUAGUGGGUCUUUGAAUUUAAAUAAAAUAAACAUGUAUAUGCAACACAAAAUAUUUAUAUUCCUUGUGUAAAAAUAAUUUAAUUGAUUAGGAUUAAAAUGUUUUGUUUGAAUGUAAAAUGAACACAUUAUUCUCACAUUGAUUAAAAUUGAUUGAAUUGAAUACUUAAAACAAUAAAAUUGGGUUUGGACACAAAACGGCACCUCCUGAGCAGCAGGGGCAGUAUAGCUCAAUGAGAAGGACAUCGAUUGCCAUAAAAGAAGAAUAAAGAUCGUUUUUUUGGGCGCCAAAAUGAAGACUAAGCACAGCAGUCACUGCCAGUCAGUCAGAAGAACUCUCUCAGACGGACACCACGUUAUUAAAGUCCAUCAUCCUUGCAUGCGCUACACAGCAUUGAUAAAUGCUGAAUUUAAAAGAACCACUACUGUCUAAUGUUCCUGCGUGUCACCUGGACCUCCAAUCCAAAAACCUGAUGAAACUCUUCUAUCAGAAAGCAGGACAGCUAGCAAAAAGGCUUCAAACAAUCAAUGAUCAAAUGACAGAUGGCAUGGAUGAAGUCAGCAUCAGUGAGGUCAUUUGAAGACACCAAUGUUGGGAUUUGUGCUCUCAAACAACCUGCUUCUUGUGAUGAAGAAGAGGAUCUUUGUAUAGUCCUGGAAGGCAUGAAGGUGUUGCAACAUCGUGCCAUGUUGUUUGAGCUGAUGUAUGCCUUAAACCUGAGCUAUCCUGAUCUCCGCUUUAUUUUUGAGGAAAUCCAAAAGAUUUUAAUGGAACUGCAUUGAGAGUAACUUUAACGAACAGUUUCUUUCAGUGAAAGGAUCAGAAAGACUGUGCUGCUCAUUUUUGACUUUGUUUAUCUGUUUUAAGUGUUUUCUCUUAUUAAUACAUUAACCGUUUGCUGCUCAGA
Misgurnus anguillicaudatus (oriental weatherfish) is the source of this 919-nucleotide non-coding RNA. Lineage: Eukaryota; Metazoa; Chordata; Actinopteri; Cypriniformes; Cobitidae. The record is from RefSeq and is a predicted model, not a curated record.